This 465-nucleotide ribosomal RNA is filed under the name Vreelandella stevensii. RNAcentral's name for it is "partial 16S ribosomal RNA". It matches the Rfam family "Bacterial small subunit ribosomal RNA", at positions 338 to 795 of the family's 1533-position model. The record is from RNAcentral. Lineage: Bacteria; Pseudomonadati; Pseudomonadota; Gammaproteobacteria; Oceanospirillales; Halomonadaceae.
CCUACGGGAGGCUGCAGUGGGGAAUAUUGGACAAUGGGGGGAACCCUGAUCCAGCCAUGCCGCGUGUGUGAAGAAGGCCCUCGGGUUGUAAAGCACUUUCAGUGAGGAAGAACGCCUGGUGGUUAAUACCCAUCAGGAAAGACAUCACUCACAGAAGAAGCACCGGCUAACUCCGUGCCAGCAGCCGCGGUAAUACGGAGGGUGCGAGCGUUAAUCGGAAUUACUGGGCGUAAAGCGCGCGUAGGUGGCUUGAUAAGCCGGUUGUGAAAGCCCCGGGCUCAACCUGGGAACGGCAUCCGGAACUGUCAAGCUAGAGUGCAGGAGAGGAAGGUAGAAUUCACGGUGUAGCGGUGAAAUGCGUAGAGAUCGGGAGGAAUACCAGUGGCGAAGGCGGCCUUCUGGACUGACACUGACGCUGAGGUGCGAAAGCGUGGGUAGCAAACAGGAUUAGAUACCCUGGUAGUC